Long non-coding RNA from Solea senegalensis (Senegalese sole), 649 nucleotides. RefSeq lists it as uncharacterized. Lineage: Eukaryota; Metazoa; Chordata; Actinopteri; Pleuronectiformes; Soleidae. The record is from RefSeq and is a predicted model, not a curated record. The transcript has 2 exons.
ACGAGUGUCCUCACAUUCACCUCACUCCUCCAGGAAAACACUUUAUAUCCUGCUUUCUAAUUCAAGACACUUACUUUAUGUGCAGGUUAAAUUUAGACGCCUUAAUGCUGCAGCAGCAGCAGCAGCAGGACGUACAGUGGUGAGAGUUAAUGAGGAAGAAGAAGAAGAAGAAAAAAAAGGCUUUAAUUUGACUGGUGAUGGCGUUAAGACUCGUUCACGCUGCUGAGUUACGAGCUAAUUAAAAAAUUAACAGGAGUUUGACAGUUUUUACCGCCGCGUCUGACUCAGCGACAGAAUCGCUGAUUAAGUUUGAUGCACGAGCCGAGGAAAGGACAGGACAGGCGUGGACGUUAACAAAAGGGUGUUUUCUGCAAUAAAUGAGAGAUAAUUCAAAGUAACUCAUAAUAACAUGGUUUACAGUCACUUUUACAGCAUCAUUUUAUUGUGAUUUUUGUUUUAUUCUAAAUCUUUUAGUCAUUGCACUAGUUUCAAUCAAUUUUUCCUUGGUUUUUAUAUUAAUUACUGUAUUUAUUUUAGAAUAUUUAUUUUGAAAAUUUGAAGUGUUAAUUUUCAUGACUGAGAAAAAUCUGAUUUUGGCCACCAAAUGUAACAUUUAGCCAAUAAACUCCUACUUUCUUACUCAUUUAAA